UCCCCGGUGGCUCAGUGGUAAAGAAUCUGCCUGCCAAUGCAGGAGACACAGGUUUGAUCCCUGGUCCGGGAA
RNAcentral lists this transfer RNA (72 nucleotides) under Ovis aries (sheep). It matches the Rfam family "tRNA". From Rfam's summary of the family: Transfer RNA (tRNA) molecules are approximately 80 nucleotides in length. Their secondary structure includes four short double-helical elements and three loops (D, anti-codon, and T loops). Further hydrogen bonds mediate the characteristic L-shaped molecular structure. tRNAs have two regions of fundamental functional importance: the anti-codon, which is responsible for specific mRNA codon recognition, and the 3' end, to which the tRNAs corresponding amino acid is attached (by aminoacyl-tRNA synthetases). tRNAs cope with the degeneracy of the genetic code in two manners: having more than one tRNA (with a specific anti-codon) for a particular amino acid; and 'wobble' base-pairing, i.e. permitting non-standard base-pairing at the 3rd anti-codon position. Lineage: Eukaryota; Metazoa; Chordata; Mammalia; Artiodactyla; Bovidae. The record is from Rfam by way of RNAcentral.